AAGUUUGAGCGUGGCGUAAUGCAGAAUGAAACAAAACAGCGCUAGCAUUUUAUACUCAAGAGGAUCAUUAACUACUGACCAACUGCUCUCGUGAAAUUAGAGAGAGCAUACUGUAGGAUCACGGGAGACCUGCCUCCAUCAGCCCACAGAGGAUGUCUGCUUCACAAACAGCAAUGAACAAUUUUGAGGGUGCUGGUACAAGCAGCGAAAAAACAAGAUGCCUGAAGAGAAAUAUGAGGAGGGAAGG
Molecule: long non-coding RNA, 247 nt
Organism: Eleginops maclovinus (Patagonian blennie)
Lineage: Eukaryota; Metazoa; Chordata; Actinopteri; Perciformes; Eleginopidae
Exons: 3
Source: RefSeq, a predicted model, not a curated record